CGUUCUAUGGCCGAACUGGUAAGGCAUCGCCGAUUACAGGCGAAGAUGCGGGUUCGAGUCCCGCCAAAACGG
This 72-nucleotide transfer RNA is filed under the name Operophtera brumata (winter moth). It matches the Rfam family "tRNA". From Rfam's summary of the family: Transfer RNA (tRNA) molecules are approximately 80 nucleotides in length. Their secondary structure includes four short double-helical elements and three loops (D, anti-codon, and T loops). Lineage: Eukaryota; Metazoa; Arthropoda; Insecta; Lepidoptera; Geometridae. The record is from Rfam by way of RNAcentral.